This 305-nucleotide ribosomal RNA is filed under the name uncultured bacterium. RNAcentral describes it as "bacterial SSU rRNA". It matches the Rfam family "Bacterial small subunit ribosomal RNA", at positions 333 to 630 of the family's 1533-position model. The record is from RNAcentral.
GUGAACCUACGGGAGUCAGCAGUAGGGACUCUUCCCCAAUGGUCGAAAGCCUGAUGGAGCAACGCCGCGUGGGUGAAGAAGGUCUUCGGAUCGUAAAACCCUGUUGUUAGAGAAGAAAGUGCGUGAGAGUAACUGUUCACGUUUCGACGGUAUCUAACCAGAAAGCCACGGCUAACUACGUGCCAGCAGCCGCGGUAAUACGUAGGUGGCAAGCGUUAUCCGGAUUUAUUGGGCGUAAAGGGAACGCAGGCGGUCUUUUAAGUCUGAUGUGAAAGCCUUCGGCUUAACCGGAGUAGUGCAUUGGA